CACUCCUACGGGAGGCAGCAGUGGGGAAUUUUGGACAAUGGGCGCAAGCCUGAUCCAGCCAUGCCGCGUGCGGGAAGAAGGCCUUCGGGUUGUAAACCGCUUUUGUCAGGGAAGAAAAGGUUCUGGCUAAUACCUGGGACUCAUGACGGUACCUGAAGAAUAAGCACCGGCUAACUACGUGCCAGCAGCCGCGGUAAUACGUAGGGUGCAAGCGUUAAUCGGAAUUACUGGGCGUAAAGCGUGCGCAGGCGGUUAUGCAAGACAGAGGUGAAAUCCCCGGGCUCAACCUGGGAACUGCCUUUGUGACUGCAUGGCUAGAGUACGGUAGAGGGGGAUGGAAUUCCGCGUGUAGCAGUGAAAUGCGUAGAUAUGCGGAGGAACACCGAUGGCGAAGGCAAUCCCCUGGACCUGUACUGACGCUCAUGCACGAAAGCGUGGGGAGCAAACAGGAUUAGAAACCCCAGUAGUCCCAUG
This 474-nucleotide ribosomal RNA is filed under the name uncultured organism. RNAcentral's name for it is "partial 16S ribosomal RNA". It matches the Rfam family "Bacterial small subunit ribosomal RNA", at positions 334 to 799 of the family's 1533-position model. The record is from RNAcentral.